This 495-nucleotide ribosomal RNA is filed under the name uncultured bacterium. RNAcentral describes it as "partial 16S ribosomal RNA". It matches the Rfam family "Bacterial small subunit ribosomal RNA", at positions 28 to 507 of the family's 1533-position model. The record is from RNAcentral.
GACGAACGCUGGCGGCGUGCCUAAUACAUGCAAGUAGAACGCUGAAGGAGGAGCUUGCUUCUCUGGAUGAGUUGCGAACGGGUGAGUAACGCGUAGGUAACCUGCCUGGUAGCGGGGGAUAACUAUUGGAAACGAUAGCUAAUACCGCAUAAUAGUAGAUGUCGCAUGACAUUUGCUUAAAAGGUGCAAUUGCAUCACUACCAGAUGGACCUGCGUUGUAUUAGCUAGUUGGUGAGGUAACGGCUCACCAAGGCAACGAUUCAUAGCCGACCUGAGAGGGUGAUCGGCCACACUGGGACUGAGACACGGCCCAGACUCCUACGGGAGGCAGCAGUAGGGAAUCUUCGGCAAUGGACGGAAGUCUGACCGAGCAACGCCGCGUGAGUGAAGAAGGUUUUCGGAUCGUAAAGCUCUGUUGUAAGAGAAGAACGAGUGUGAGAGUGGAAAGUUCACACUGUGACGGUAUCUUACCAGAAAGGGACGGCUAACUACGUG